Long non-coding RNA from Hipposideros armiger (great roundleaf bat), 364 nucleotides. RefSeq lists it as uncharacterized. Lineage: Eukaryota; Metazoa; Chordata; Mammalia; Chiroptera; Hipposideridae. The transcript is spliced from 3 exons. The record is from RefSeq and is a predicted model, not a curated record.
UGUGAAGAGCGUUUCCGGAGGGCGUGAGGCGGGGCGAGGCAUGGCGAGGCGUGGCGUGGCGUCCUAUGGUAGUGCGGCAGCUGGUCUAGGUGGUGGCUGUCGCUGUUGGUGCAGCGGUGCCCGGCAAAGUAUUAAAUGUUGAAGAAGAGCUCAGGGUACUAAUAUGAAAAGUUUAUGUUGGACUCGACAGUUACAAAGGUGCCUUUAACUCAAAAGAGUCGAUAUGCCAAAGCUGCUUAUUUUGGAAUGCCACGUUCUGAACCCUUUCACUGGUAUGUCAAGAUGUUUUGAACUCAUCUUACACAUUUCCUGCCCCCAGACUUGGAAUCAGCUAUUUCUCCAAGAAACCUUGGUUUCUUUUAGU